This 250-nucleotide unclassified non-coding RNA is filed under the name plant metagenome. RNAcentral describes it as "partial contains small subunit ribosomal RNA, internal transcribed spacer 1, and 5.8S ribosomal RNA". The stretch from base 1 to 53 matches the Rfam family "Eukaryotic small subunit ribosomal RNA", at positions 1778 to 1831 of the family's 1831-position model. The record is from RNAcentral.
GGAAGUAAAAGUGUAACAAGGUCUCCGUAGGUGAACCUGCGGAGGGAUCAUUACAGAGUUCAUGCCCUACCGGGUAGAUCUCCCACCCUAUGUUAUUAUUACUUUGUUGCUUUGGCGGGCCGUUAGGCUCCGGCCCGACUACCGGCCCCGGCUGGUAAGCGCCCGCCAGAGGACCCAAAACCCUGAAUAUUAGUGUCGUCUGAGUACUAUAUAAUAGUUAAAACUUUCAACAACGGAUCUCUUGGUUCUG